GACGAACGCUGGCGGCGCGCCUAACACAUGCAAGUCGAACGAGAGAUGAGGAGCUUGCUCUUCAAAUCGAGUGGCGAACGGGUGAGUAACGCGUGAGGAACCUGCCUCAAAGAGGGGGACAACAGUUGGAAACGACUGCUAAUACCGCAUAAGCCCACAGCUCGGCAUCGAGCAGAGGGAAAAGGAGUGAUCCGCUUUGAGAUGGACUCGCGUCCGAUUAGCUGGUUGGUGAGGUAACGGCCCGCCAAGGCGACGAUCGGUAGCCGGACUGAGAGGUUGAACGGCCACAUUGGGACUGAGACACGGCCCAGACUCCUACGGGAGGCAGCAGUGGGGAAUAUUGCACAAUGGGGGAAACCCUGAUGCAGCGACGCCGCGUGGAGGAAGAAGGUCUUCGGAUUGUAGACUCCUGUUGUUGAGGAAGAUAAUGACGGUACUCAACAAGGAAGUGACGGC
This 456-nucleotide ribosomal RNA is filed under the name uncultured bacterium. RNAcentral's name for it is "bacterial SSU rRNA". It matches the Rfam family "Bacterial small subunit ribosomal RNA", at positions 28 to 497 of the family's 1533-position model. The record is from RNAcentral.